Molecule: ribosomal RNA, 253 nt
Filed under: uncultured bacterium
Lineage: Bacteria
Description: partial 16S ribosomal RNA
Rfam family: Bacterial small subunit ribosomal RNA
Source: RNAcentral
UACGUAGGGGGCAAGCGUUGUCCGGAUUUAUUGGGCGUAAAGAGCGCGUAGGCGGUUUGGUAGGUCCGUUGUGAAAACUCGAGGCUCAACCUCGAGACGCCGAUGGAAACCAUCAGACUAGAGUCCGGAAGAGGAGAGUGGAAUUCCUGGUGUAGCGGUGAAAUGCGCAGAUAUCAGGAAGAACACCCGUGGCGAAGGCGGCUCUCUAGUACGGUACUGACGCUGAGACGCGAAAGCGUGGGGAGCGAACAGG